CCUACGGGGGGCAGCAGUGGGGAAUAUUGCACAAUGGGGGAAACCCUGAUGCAGCAACGCCGCGUGAGCGAUGAAGGCCUUCGGGUCGUAAAGCUCUGUCCUAAGGGAAGAAUACUGACGGUACCUUAGGAGGAAGCACCGGCUAACUACGUGCCAGCAGCCGCGGUAAUACGUAGGGGGCUAGCGUUAUCCGGAAUUACUGGGCGUAAAGGGUGCGUAGGCGGCGCUUGAAGUCAGAGGUGAAAGGCUACGGCUGAAGCGUAGUAAGCCUUUGAAACUGUAGGGCUGGAGUGCAGGAGAGGAGAGUGGAAUUCCCAGUGUAGCGGUGAAAUGCGUAGAUAUUGGGAAGAACGCCAGUUGCGAAGGCGGCUCGCUUGACUGUAGCUGACGCUGAGGCACGAAAGCGUGGGGAGCGAACAGGAUUAGAUACCCGGGUAGUC
Molecule: ribosomal RNA, 440 nt
Filed under: uncultured bacterium
Lineage: Bacteria
Description: bacterial SSU rRNA
Rfam family: Bacterial small subunit ribosomal RNA
Source: RNAcentral